RNAcentral lists this non-coding RNA (245 nucleotides) under Limosilactobacillus reuteri. RNAcentral describes it as "Lactobacillus reuteri T-box sequence". It matches the Rfam family "T-box leader". Rfam says of the family: Uncharged tRNA acts as the effector for transcription antitermination of genes in the T-box leader family. T-boxes are found upstream of many aminoacyl-tRNA synthetase genes and some amino acid biosynthetic genes usually in Gram-positive bacteria. Lineage: Bacteria; Bacillati; Bacillota; Bacilli; Lactobacillales; Lactobacillaceae. The record is from RNAcentral.
UAAAUAUUAGUCGUUUAAGAAGAGUAAAAGCAAUGCAGUAUUAAGAGAGUUUUCGGGUGGUGGAAGAAAAUUACAAGUUGCUUUGAAGAUGGUCUUAAAAAAUACAACAAGUGUGAGGAAAAAAACUAAGCGCUUGUCGGCUGAUAUCCGUUAUCAAGUAUCGAAGUUUAUUAUGAACUUCCUGAGGCUAUUCAUGUGAGUGGAUAGUAAAUUAAGGUGGCACCACGAAAAUACUCGUCCUUAUU